UACAACUUUCAUCAACGGAUCUCUUGGUUCUGGCAUCGAUGAAGAACGCAGCGAAAUGCGAUAAGUAGUGUGAAUUGCAGAAUUCAGUGAAUCAUCGAAUCUUUGAACGCACAUUGCGCCCCUUGGUAUUCCAUGGGGCAUGCCUGUUCGAGCGUCAUU
This 159-nucleotide ribosomal RNA is filed under the name Juncaceicola alpina. Its description in RNAcentral is "5.8S ribosomal RNA". It matches the Rfam family "5.8S ribosomal RNA". From Rfam's summary of the family: 5.8S ribosomal RNA (5.8S rRNA) is a component of the large subunit of the eukaryotic ribosome. It is transcribed by RNA polymerase I as part of the 45S precursor that also contains 18S and 28S rRNA. Lineage: Eukaryota; Fungi; Ascomycota; Dothideomycetes; Pleosporales; Phaeosphaeriaceae. The record is from RNAcentral.